Picea glauca (white spruce) is the source of this 93-nucleotide non-coding RNA. The record is from Rfam. Lineage: Eukaryota; Viridiplantae; Streptophyta; Pinopsida; Pinales; Pinaceae.
GGGUGCGAUCAUACCAGCGUUAAUGCACCGAAUCCCAUCAGAACUCCGCAGUUAAGCGCGCUUGGGCUAGAGUAGUGCUGGGAUGGGUGACCU